Molecule: ribosomal RNA, 253 nt
Filed under: uncultured bacterium
Lineage: Bacteria
Description: partial 16S ribosomal RNA
Rfam family: Bacterial small subunit ribosomal RNA
Source: RNAcentral
UACGUAGGGUGCGAGCGUUGUCCGGAAUUAUUGGGCGUAAAGGGCUCGUAGGCGGUUUGUCGCGUCGGGAGUGAAAACCCAGGGCUUAACCCUGGGCUGGCUUCCGAUACGGGCAGACUAGAGGUAUGCAGGGGAGAACGGAAUUCCUGGUGUAGCGGUGAAAUGCGCAGAUAUCAGGAGGAACACCGGUGGCGAAGGCGGAUCUCUGGGCCUUACCUGACGCUGAGGCGCGAAAGCUAGGGGAGCAAACAGG